CUGGUGGCGGCGGGGGCGGCGCUGGCGGCGAUGGCCAAAGGACCCUCGGUGGGACGGGGGGCGCUGUUGGGCACGCAGGUGCUGCUGAUGACGUCAUCGCUGGCCGGGGCAAUCCUGGCUGUGAUUGGCUGCGUGGCGGCCACCAGGGCGCGCCCGAGGGCGGAGCCAAUGCCCGUGGUGAUUUAUCAGACAGCUCUGCCCGCCCAGGGGGCGGGGCCAGCCGAGGCCACGCCCCUCGAGACGAAAUAAAGACCAAUCACAGCUGAGCGUGGAUUUGGCGCGUCUG
Pseudopodoces humilis (Tibetan ground-tit) is the source of this 286-nucleotide non-coding RNA. The record is from RefSeq and is a predicted model, not a curated record. Lineage: Eukaryota; Metazoa; Chordata; Aves; Passeriformes; Paridae.